This 390-nucleotide ribosomal RNA is filed under the name uncultured bacterium. RNAcentral's name for it is "bacterial SSU rRNA". It matches the Rfam family "Bacterial small subunit ribosomal RNA", at positions 29 to 420 of the family's 1533-position model. The record is from RNAcentral.
ACGAACGCUGGCGGCGUGCUUAACACAUGCAAGUCGAGCGGUAAGGCCCUUUCGGGGGUACACGAGCGGCGAACGGGUGGGUAACACGUGGGUGACCUGCCCUCAGCUCUGGGAUAAGCCUGGGAAACCGGGUCUAAUACUGGAUAUGACUCCAUGACGCAUGUUGUGGGGUGGAAAGCCUUGUGCGGCUGGGGAUGGGCCCGCGGCCUAUCAGCUUGUUGGUGGGGUGANGGCCUACCAAGGCGACGACGGGUAGCCGGCCUGAGAGGGCGACCGGCCACACUGGGACUGAGACACGGCCCAGACUCCUACGGGAGGCAGCAGUGGGGAAUCUUGCGCAAUGGGCGAAAGCCUGACGCAGCGACGCCGCGUGAGGGAUGACGGCCUCGG